UACGGAGGGUGCGAGCGUUGUCCGGAAUCAUUGGCGUAAAGGGCGCGUAGGUGGCUUCUUAAGCGUGCGGUGAAAGCCUCGGGGCUCAACCCCGGGUCGGCCGUGCGAACUGGGGGGCUGGAGCACUGUAGAGGCAGGCGGGAAUUCCGGGGUGUAGCGGUGGAAUGACGUAGAGAUCCGGAAGAACGACCGGGUGGCGAAGGCGGC
Molecule: ribosomal RNA, 207 nt
Filed under: uncultured bacterium
Lineage: Bacteria
Description: partial 16S ribosomal RNA
Rfam family: Bacterial small subunit ribosomal RNA
Source: RNAcentral